ACGCACGCUGGCGGCGUGCUUAACACCUGCCAGUCGAACGAAGAGCGCUGGAAGCUUGCUUCUAUCAAUCUUAGUGGCGAACGGGUGAGUAACGCGUAAUCAACCUGCCCUUCAGAGGGGGACAACAGUUGGAAACGACUGCUAAUACCGCAUACGAUCCAAUCUCGGCAUCGGGACUGGAUGAAAGGUGGCCUCUAUUUAUAAGCUAUCACUGAAGGAGGGGAUUGCGUCUGAUUAGCUAGUUGGAGGGGUAACGGCCCACCAAGGCGAUGAUCAGUAGCCGGUCUGAGAGGAUGGACGGCCACAUUGGGACUGAGACACGGCCCAGACUCCUACGGGAGGCAGCAGUGGGGAAUCUUCCGCAAUGGACGAAAGUCUGACGGAGCAACGCCGCGUGAGUGAUGACGGCCUUCGGGUUGUAAAGCUCUGUUAAUCGGGACGAAUGGUUCUUGUGCGAAUAGGGCGAGGAUUUGACGGUACCGGAAUAGAAAGCCACGGCUAACUACGUG
This 509-nucleotide ribosomal RNA is filed under the name uncultured bacterium. Its description in RNAcentral is "partial 16S ribosomal RNA". It matches the Rfam family "Bacterial small subunit ribosomal RNA", at positions 29 to 507 of the family's 1533-position model. The record is from RNAcentral.